Molecule: ribosomal RNA, 466 nt
Filed under: uncultured bacterium
Lineage: Bacteria
Description: bacterial SSU rRNA
Rfam family: Bacterial small subunit ribosomal RNA
Source: RNAcentral
ACCAGACUCCUACGGGAGGCAGCAGUGAGGAAUAUUGGUCAAUGGGCGGGAGCCUGAACCAGCCAAGUCGCGUGAGGGAAGACGGUCCUACGGAUUGUAAACCUCUUUUGCCGGGGAGCAACGGGGUCCUUGCGAGGACCCGAUGAGAGUACCCGGAGAAAAAGCAUCGGCUAACUCCGUGCCAGCAGCCGCGGUAAUACGGAGGAUGCGAGCGUUAUCCGGAUUUAUUGGGUUUAAAGGGUGCGCAGGCGGAGGUGCAAGUCAGCGGUCAAAUCGUGGGGCUCAACCCCAUCCAGCCGUUGAAACUGGGGAUCUAGAGUGUGCGAGAAGUAUGCGGAAUGCGUGGUGUAGCGGUGAAAUGCAUAGAUAUCACGCAGAACUCCGAUUGCGAAGGCAGCAUACCGGCGCCCAACUGACGCUGAAGCACGAAAGCGUGGGUAUCGAACAGGAUUAGAUACCCGUGUAA